UAAUAUUAAAGAGCUUUGUUAAACUUAGACUUAAGUUUAGGUCAUUUUGGGGGUUUAGCUCAGUUGGCUAGAGCAUCGGCUUUGCAAGCCGAGGGUCAAGGGUUCGAGUCCCUUAACCUCCAUUGGGCUUAUGUCCUAAAUUGUAAUUAAGUAUGUUUUUAAGCAACUUUAUUAAAGUAAUUGUUGGAAUGUGAAACAGAGGAAGUUAAAAUUUCUGGGUUAAGUUGAGAUCUGUUGAUAUUAAGAAGAAUCUCUAGAAGCAAAAGCAAGCUUUCGAUAAAACCCGAAGUUGUUUCGCUAAAGUGCAAGGAUUAAACAGGAUUGUAUUUUCCAGCAGCCUAUUUUAUAAACGAUCUGCAUUUAGUAAAUAGUUUUUAGUUAGGAAAUAAUGUAUAUUGCUAAGUGUGAUGUCUGAAAGAAGGACAAGUAUUGUAGCGAGCCUAAAUCCUUGUUAUCGUUGCCAGUAUUUAGUGGUAGGGAUUCGGAUAAGACUGCUAUUUAUAAGUUGGAGGAAGGCAAAGAUUGCAUCAAAUCGUUAUCGCUCUUAUGUUUUAGGUUACAAGUUUGCCACAAUAACCCA
RNAcentral lists this unclassified non-coding RNA (580 nucleotides) under Borreliella burgdorferi (Lyme disease spirochete). RNAcentral describes it as "partial 16S-23S intergenic spacer". The stretch from base 49 to 122 matches the Rfam family "tRNA". The record is from RNAcentral. Lineage: Bacteria; Pseudomonadati; Spirochaetota; Spirochaetia; Spirochaetales; Borreliaceae.